Brassica napus (rape) is the source of this 979-nucleotide long non-coding RNA. RefSeq lists it as uncharacterized. The record is from RefSeq and is a predicted model, not a curated record. The transcript has 2 exons. NCBI's taxonomy places the organism in Eukaryota, Viridiplantae, Streptophyta, Magnoliopsida, Brassicales, Brassicaceae.
UAGAUUUAUAUAAAAUUUUGUAAAUUUGUCUUUAGUCAAUAAUAAUUAGAAAAUGAUAAAUUCAAUUUUAAUAUAUUUUAAUUAAAAUAUUUUGAAUUGGGUUAAAAUUACAUGAAAUUGAAUUUAGAAUAUUUUAUUUAAGAUAUUUUGGAUUUGAUUUUACGUAACUUUAAAAUAGAGAAUUUGCAUUCCCUACCUACACGUUUAUGCAUAAUUAGCGAUAUACCAAAAAUCACUAUUAUACACUGUACAUUUUCUUUAAUGUCUCUGCUGCCCUUAUUACUUCUACCUAUCAUAGACUCCAUAUUAUGUAUCUUCUCUCUCUUCACAAAUUCAAUUUCUCUGCAAAUCUCAAUACACACAAACCCUAAGUUACUCCACUGUUCUACAAAUGUAAAUCGUCGGUUAAGAUUCACAACACAUUAUUAUCUUCUAACCACGUCUUCAGAAUCUUCCACCGAGUCUGCGCCGCGAAUCUGAUCCUCCGAUCCUGGCCGACUCGUCCCUCUGACCACCACCUCCGCACAGAUUCUGAGCCUAUACAAGCAUCGUCGGAGGGAGAGUGGCGGUUGCUGGAGACUGCAUUUUGGAGAUCUGGGAGGAGAUUAACGUAAUUUUACACCUUCAUUUAAUACUGUAGACUGCAAACUUUUACUGUUAUUACAUUUAUCUAAUUACUAACUUUUUUGGGUUUUCAACCAAUUGACUCUUUAAAAUAUCCAUAAUUAAAUAUUUAUAUUUAUAUAUAUGUACACAUAUAUAUUUGAGAAAUUGUAACAAAUACCACUUUUCAUGUUUACACUAACCACUUUUAUCUUCAUUUUUAAUAAAGGGUAAAAAACAUUUAUAAACCUAAGGUUAACUAACCUAGAUUUAGAGUUUAGAGUUCAGAGUUGAGAGAUGUGAUAUGGUUUGUAGAAUGUGAAAUUUAGGAUUCUUAUAAAUAUAUAAAUAAAUACUUAAAAAUUUAUUAAAAAAA